UCAUUUUAUUUCUCUCCCCCCCAAUUCCCUUCUUUCCCGAUUCCACUUUCUUUCUCAACCAUUCUCAGCCUGUACUUCUAUUUCUCUCCCCCGAUUCCCUUUUCUUUCCCAAUUCUCUUUUCUUUCUCAGCCUUUCUCAACCUGUUCUUCUAUUUUAUACCCGAAAAACUCUAUUAGUCUCUCAUUUUUGUUUUUAAUAGGUAAGAGGUAAGCCUAAGCUCUCAUCUCUUCGACUUAGGGUUUAUUGUUUAUCCUCCUCCUGUCAAAUUGCUUUGAUUCCUUCCCAAAAUUUCAUCACUCUCACGCUUUUUAGUGGAUGACGACUUGAGUUCCAAUUAUGGUCUCAAGCAAAAGUUGUAUAAACACUGGUUGGGUGUCUACAAGACAUCUGGAGGCAAUGACUUCCACUCAUUUAAGCAGAGAUGGUUCUUCACUCUUGAACAUGUAUUUGUGAUGAAUGAGAUCUGUUCUUGACUGCGAAUGAGUUGAGAAGGAAAGAGGAUGCAAUAGCACGAGGGAUGCAUGGGACAUGGCUGCUGAAAUUUGCCUUUCUCAGCUUCCAUCAUUGGUUGAGGAUCGUAAUGCAGAGUUCCAGGUGUGUUUUUCUUCCAGAGUUAGAACUUACUUGGAGAAAUUUUAGUAAGUUCUUCAAAGUUGGUCAAGAAUUCUGGGUUUACGUCUGCUGCAUCGCCUUCGGUAGUCCUCCGCAUCGUCGUCGGCAGCCUUCUGCUACAUCUCCGUUGGCAUCCCUCUGCUACAUCUCCGUCGGCAUCCCUCUGCUGCUUCUCCAGUUUUCUGCCAUCCAAUUUGCUUAGCUUCAAUCCACAUUGACUUAGCUAUUGGUUUCAAUUAGAUGAGGCUAACAUCUCCAUCAUCGGUAUAUAGAGGUAUCUUCACCACGUUCCUUACAGGUUCAAGACAGGUUUCAGGGAAGGUACUGAAGCAGCACCAAGAAAGAAGGUUGCGGCUUCUGCUUAAAAGGUAAAUUGUAAUGGUAUGAGGUUUUGUUUUGGAUGAAGCUAUGUUUAUGAGGAAACAUUUAGUGAUGAAGAGUGAAAUUAUGUUCCAUUGGAUGCUUUAGUUGUUAUUUAGUUUCUAUUUGAAUGUAGCUGUCUUAUAUUUUGAACAAUUAUUGGAGCUAAUGUUUGACCCUUAAUUUCUUCAUUGUCUUUUUUUUAACUUAAUCAAUGUUCUUGUUUCGUUAA
Molecule: long non-coding RNA, 1205 nt
Organism: Gossypium arboreum
Lineage: Eukaryota; Viridiplantae; Streptophyta; Magnoliopsida; Malvales; Malvaceae
Exons: 7
Source: RefSeq, a predicted model, not a curated record